This is a long non-coding RNA of Heteronotia binoei (common prickly gecko), 392 nucleotides long. RefSeq lists it as uncharacterized. NCBI's taxonomy places the organism in Eukaryota, Metazoa, Chordata, Lepidosauria, Squamata, Gekkonidae. The record is from RefSeq and is a predicted model, not a curated record. The transcript is spliced from 3 exons.
CGCUCUAGGCUGAGGCCCUACUCGCUGCUCCCGGCAGCCCAGGCCUGAGCUAGGCUUGGGGGAGGGGAGGGCAGCGGCGAUUUGGCUUCUUCCGUCCUUUCGGCUCCCGCAGCGCCUGGACAGCGCCAGCGCCGCAGAAUGUUUGGCACUUCAUGCCUGUGCAAAGGACGUUUAAUUUACAUCCAAGCUGGAGGCAACAGCAAAAACAGCCAACAUAAACAUGGAAGACAGGAGAUGGGAACAAGGAGCCUUUGCCAUUGAAUCACAUUCCAAUGUAAAGAGUAAAAGAGUAACCACUGCAUCUACACAAGGGCAUUUUGCCUUCAUGGAUAUUUGACAGUAUUUCCCUGUUGUCAAAUAGUAGGUGAUCAAUUGACUGGAAUCCCAGUGCU